This is a non-coding RNA of Podarcis lilfordi (Lilford's wall lizard), 76 nucleotides long. Lineage: Eukaryota; Metazoa; Chordata; Lepidosauria; Squamata; Lacertidae. The record is from the annotation of a GenBank genome assembly.
GGCACAGCUCAGUGGCAGAGCAUCUCUUUUGCACACAGAAGGUUCCAGGUUCAGUCCCUGUGUCAGAAGUGAGCCA